ACGACCGUACCGCAAACCGACACUGGUGCGCGAGAUGAGUAUUCUAAGGCGCUUGAGAGAACUCAGGAGAAGGAACUCGGCAAAUUGACACCGUAACUUCGGAAGAAGGUGUGCCUUUAGUAGGUGAAGUCCCUCGCGGAUGGAGCCCAAUGAGGUUGCAAAAAAUCGGUGGCUGCGACUGUUUAUUAAAAACACAGCACUCUGCAAACACGAAAGUGGACGUAUAGGGUGUGACGCCUGCCCGGUGCUGGAAGAUUAAAUGAUGGGGUGCAAGCUCUUGAUUGAAGUCCCAGUAAACGGCGGCCGUAACAAUAACGGUCCUAAGGUAGCGAAAUUCCUUGUCGGGUAAGUUCCGACCUGCACGAAUGGCGUAACGAUGGCCACACUGUCUCCUCCUGAGACUCAGCGAAGUUGAAAUGUUUGUGAUGAUGCAAUCUCCCCGCGGAAAGACGGAAAGACCCCAUGAACCUUUACUGUAGCUUUGUAUUGGAUUUUGAACAGAUCUGUGUAGGAUAGGUGGGAGGCUUUGAAGCAGGGUCGCUAGAUCUUGUGGAGCCAACGUUGAAAUACCACCCUGGUGUGUUUGAGGUUCUAACCUAGGCCCGUAAUCCGGGUUGGGGACAGUGCAUGGUAGGCAGUUUGACUGGGGCGGUCUCCUCCCAAAGUGUAACGGAGGAGUUCGAAGGUACGCUAGUUACGGUCGGACAUCGUGACGAUAGUGCAAUGGCAUAAGCGUGCUUAACUGCGAGACUGACAAGUCGAGCAGAUGCGAAAGCAGGACAUAGUGAUCCGGUGGUUCUGUAUGGAAGGGCCAUCGCUCAACGGAUAAAAGGUACUCUCUGGAUAACAGGCUGAUACCGCCCAAGAGUUCAUAUCGACGGCGGUGUUUGGCACCUCGAUGUCGGCUCAUCUCAUCCUGGGGCUGUAGCCGGUCCCAAGGGUAUGGCUGUUCGCCAUUUAAAGAGGUACGUGAGCUGGGUUUAAAACGUCGUGAGACAGUUUGGUCCCUAUCUUCCGUGGGCGCUGCAGAUUUGAGGAAGCCUGCUCCUAGUACGAGAGGACCGGAGUGGACGCACCUCUGGUGUAUCGGUUGUCACGCCAGUGGCAUUGCCGAGUAGCUAUGUGCGGAAGAGAUAACCGCUGAAAGCAUCUAAGCGGGAAACUCGUUUCAAGAUGAGAUCUGCCGGGGCCUUGAGCCCCCUGAAGAGUCGUUCAAGACCAGGACGUUGAUAGGUCGGGUGUGGAAGCGCAGUAAUGCGUUAAGCUAACCGAUACUAAUUGCUCGUGCGGCUUGAUCAA
Molecule: ribosomal RNA, 1299 nt
Filed under: metagenome
Description: bacterial LSU rRNA
Rfam family: Bacterial large subunit ribosomal RNA
Source: RNAcentral